GACGAGGUGGCUUAUAAUGGAUUAACGCGUUGGACUCCGAAUCCAGUGGUCCGGGUUCAAGCCAUGGCCGGGGUCA
Non-coding RNA from Desmophyllum pertusum, 76 nucleotides. The record is from the annotation of a GenBank genome assembly. Lineage: Eukaryota; Metazoa; Cnidaria; Anthozoa; Scleractinia; Caryophylliidae.